Molecule: ribosomal RNA, 496 nt
Filed under: uncultured bacterium
Lineage: Bacteria
Description: SSU rRNA
Rfam family: Bacterial small subunit ribosomal RNA
Source: RNAcentral
AGAACGAACGCUGGCGGCGUGGAUAAGACAUGCAAGUCGAACGCGACUUAUUUUGUUAGCAAUAACAGAGUAAGUUGAGUGGCGAAAGGGUGCGUAACACGUGGGAAUUUACCAAGAAGUGGGGAAUAGCUCGACGAAAGUCGAAUUAAUACCGCAUACGAUCGCAAGAUCAAAGCCGGGGACCGCAAGGCCUGGCGCUUUUUGAGAAGCCCGCGGCCCAUCAGCUAGUUGGCGGGGUAAAAGCCCACCAAGGCUAUGACGGGUAGCUGGUCUGAGAGGACGACCAGCCACACUGGAACUGAGACACGGUCCAGACACCUACGGGUGGCAGCAGUCGAGAAUUUUUUCACAAUGGACGAAAGUCUGAUGGAGCGACGCCGCGUGGAGGAUGAAGGUUCUUGGAUUGUAAACUCCUGUCACUGCAGAACAAGGAUACGUUUGUGAAUAGCACGCGUAUUUGAUGGUAUGCGGAGAGGAAGGGACGGCUAACUCUGUG